AGCGAACGCUGGCGGCAGGCCUAACACAUGCAAGUCGAACGAACUCUUCGGAGUUAGUGGCGGACGGGUGAGUAACACGUGGGAACGUGCCUAUUGGCUCGGAAUAACUCAGGGAAACUCGUGCAAAUACCGAAUGUGCCCUUCGGGGGAAAGAUUUAUCGCGAUUAGAGCGGCCCGCGUCUGAUUGGCUAGUUGGUGAGGUAACGGCUCACCAAGGCGACGAUCAGUAGCUGGUCUGAGAGGAUGACCAGCCACACUGGGACUGAGACACGGCCCAGACUCCUACGGGAGGCAGCAGUAGGGAAUCUUGCGCAAUGGGCGAAAGCCUGACGCAGCCAUGCCGCGUGAAUGAUGAAGGUCUUAGGAUUGUAAAAUUCUUUCACCGGGGACGAUAAUGACGGUACCCGGAGAAGAAGCCCCGGCUAACUUCGUG
RNAcentral lists this ribosomal RNA (433 nucleotides) under uncultured bacterium. RNAcentral's name for it is "partial 16S ribosomal RNA". It matches the Rfam family "Bacterial small subunit ribosomal RNA", at positions 29 to 507 of the family's 1533-position model. The record is from RNAcentral.